This 384-nucleotide ribosomal RNA is filed under the name Triticum aestivum (bread wheat). RNAcentral's name for it is "partial small subunit ribosomal RNA". The record is from RNAcentral. Lineage: Eukaryota; Viridiplantae; Streptophyta; Magnoliopsida; Poales; Poaceae.
AGUUGUAAAGUUGCUUGGGUGUCAUGGGAGGAGAUGACUCAAGCAAAACAUAUGGGAGGGUUGGGAUUCCAAGAUAUUGAGUUAUUUAAUUUGGCGAUGUUAGCAAAACAGGGUUGGGGUUUAAUCGAAGAUUAUGAUUCGUUAAGUGCUCAAAUUCUGCGUGCGGCAUAUUACCCAAACACAAACUUGUUGGAAGCAGAGUUAGGAAGUUCACCAUCUCAGAUUUGGCAAGGAAUUAUGAAAGGAAGAGACACUCUCAAGUUGGGUCUUAUGAAGCAUAUUGCUACCGGUGAGGAUACAAAAAUCUGGGAACAAAAUUGGUUACCAAGGGAUUAUAAGUUGAUACCAGUUGUUAGGUUGAUCUCCUCUGUGCAGGCCCAAUGA